Molecule: long non-coding RNA, 79 nt
Organism: Sander lucioperca (pikeperch)
Lineage: Eukaryota; Metazoa; Chordata; Actinopteri; Perciformes; Percidae
Exons: 3
Source: RefSeq, a predicted model, not a curated record
GAAAAGGCAGCCUCCAGUAUACAAUAACGUUAUUUUUAGUUUCAUAAAAUGUCCCUGAAUUCACGAAUAUGUAGGAUAU